GUGAGUCACUGCGCCUGGCAGAAAAAUUAAAAAUUGAAAAGUUUAAGUCCUAUGCAACUUUAUGAGAACUGACAGAGACAGAAACUAAUGGAUUACCAAGCUACCAAAGUUCCACAAGGAAGAAAAACUCCCAGUGCAGAGCCAGGCAUUUUACUAAAUGGUGAGGGAAAUAAGAACUUGACAACUAUUGGGUCAACUUUUCGGUGAUGUUGCAUUAACAAGAGUUGCUUUUUUGGAUAUCUAUUUCAGUUCUAGCUUACUUUUGUGAAUACAGAUUUACAUAAACUUGCUGGCAUCAUUAAGAAUCACAAUGCCUUCUUCCUUUUAAUCUCUUAAAGCAUUUCUUCAUUAGUCCCCUUCUUGAGGCAAAAAAUAAUUUCAAAAGACUUCUGGUAGUAAAGUGUCCAUGAUGUCAAAAAUACUUAGUACCAUGAAACAGGAAACCAAGUAGUCCCAUAUCAGGAGUCAGAGAGAUUUGUAUUUACAAAGCUCCCUGAGCUACUCAAUAAAAAGUCAAAGCACAUCAGGAGCACACAAAGAUCUGCAUUUUUCAUGAGAUUCAUUUUAUAAAAAUCAAAAUUUAUUGUUCACUUCCUAUGUGCCAGAAACCAAACAAGAAUUUUCACAUAUCUAAUUGAAUCUUCAAAAACACCUAUAAAAUAGAUAUUAUUAUUAUCAUCAUCAUGAUUUUACAGAUAAGAAAAUUGAAAGUUAGAAAUGUAACUUUAUGAAGGUCAUAUGGACAGUAAUUGGUGGAACUGAGAUUUGAGUCAAGGUUUAUGUGACUCCAAAGUCCAUUCUCUUGACUUAUACAUUACAGUAGUUCUAUAAAAGGCAAGUCAUUUGCUCACCUAUUCUAUUCCCCAAACUCUCUUUCAAUCAAUUUUAUGAAGAGCCUUUUUAAACCCACAGUUAUUACUCAGGUAAGUUUGAGGAACGUUCAGCUGCCACCCUGCUGCAACUUAAAUAAUUUCCUAAGUCUCUACUACGACUGCUGCCCCUAUUGCAGAAAAUAAAACAGGAAAAACUUCUAGAAAUUAGAAUUCUCGUUUUAUUGAAACAUCACACAGGCCAAUGUGAUGAGACAAUGACUAAGGAGCAACUGCCUUUGCUCUUCUGGAUUCCGUGGUGGGAACUAACUUUGGAUCCUCACCCUGCAGGAUCCCCUGCUAUAUGACCCUACUUGCCCAAUACUCCACUUCAUCAAGGUGAAGUGACCCACCAAGAGAGACUUUCAGGGUCUGGGCAUUACCAGGUAGUUUCUAAAUGUUUUUCAGAUAAAAGAUGCCUAUUUUAUUCUGGCUGAAAGCAUGAACAGAAUAAACAAUGAGCUCUGUGAAGAAUGUUCUAUGAACCCGAAUCAAACUCAAACUCCUGUGUCACUCCGGUACGCCUGAUCACUGGAUAUAACCACGUAUUGGUCCAGAACCUCCCUCUCUGUUACUACUCCCUUUGGAUUUAUCCAGUAGUCUUAGACGUCACCAGGGCCAAGCCAUGCAUAUAUAGAUUGAAAUGUUGUUUUCAAAACCUACUCAAGCUAUCUCUUGAUGAACAAGAUUAGUACCAUCUGAUUACAACCCUGAAGAGUCUAGAUUCCUUAUUCUGCAAAAUGGAUUUAUUGUAUCUCAAGGCACUGUGAAGUUUGCAGUAGCAUGUAUAGGCAAAAAGGAAAGUCCAAAGAGAGGAAAAGAAAGCAGGAGAGAUCUGAAAUGACACAAGAAGUGACUCAGAAUGGGAAGAUUGUGCACUCCUUGUUGUCCCCUAAUGCACAUGGAAGUAUGCAACAGAAGCUGUGAAAAUAACCCAGAGAGAAAGAAAAAAAUGAUGUAAAUUUAAACAUAGCAUAUUCUGGAAACAGUAUGCUUAUGGAACAGCCAGAGAGAUUUUCAAAACUUGAUCAUCUAAAUGCAGAGAACAGUUUCAAGGCUCUUUCUCACUUUCUCAUUUGAUUCCUGCAAUUGAAGCCAUCUGCUAUGCUGUGUCCUGUUCUUUGGAUCAGCACAUAUGACAAGGAAGUGAAAGUAGUCUCUGUCCAACAAUCAGUCUAACAGCCUGAGAAGAACUGAAUUCUGUCAAUGACCACGUAAGCUUCGAAGCAGACCUUUCGCUUGUUGAGCCUUCAGAUAGACAGCAGCCCUAGCUGACAUCUUAACUGCAGUCUUGUGACAGGUCCUCAGACAGGAUAAGCCAAAUUAUACCCAGACUGCUGAUCCACAGAAAAUGAGAGGAAACUCCAGGAUUCUAAAAGUAAAGCCCUAUGGAAAUAAAUCAAUAACAUUUCAAAUGAAGAACCAAAAUCGGGAAAUGCAAAUCACAACUCUAACAUCAACAUUAACUUAUAGCCAGACAAUUAUGCAUUUCUUUAGUCAACAACUAGCUGCUAAUUAUUUACUAUGUGUCAAGUCUUAUAAUGCUGAAGUGAAGAAAAGAGAUUUAAAGUCAUGGAUGUGGUUUCCUUUGGACCUUAAAUUCUAGCACAAAAUAUGAUAAACAUUGUAAUCAAUGCUAUCAUGUACAGGUAUGUGGUGUUAUGUGAAUAUAUGGGAAUACCUAAUUCGUAAACUGGGUUUAGAAAAUUCUUGCAGAAGAAAGUGGCAUCCAAACAAAGAACCAAGAACGAAUAAAAAUUAUUAUAGAUAAAGUGAAGCGGGUCUAGUGGAAUGACAAAAUUACUGAGUGUCAAGAGGUGGAAGGACUUGGUGAAUAAUUUGAAAAGGAACCAUCGGAGGAUGAUGGCCACAUUUCUGGCUCCAGCCAUCAGUAUGAACUUAUGGUUGAAGGCAUUCUCAGGGGUUAACAAGAAUUCUGGACAGAAAUAUGGCUAUAAGUAAGUAUUAAUCAGGCUGCACUUUGACCCACUUCCUUGUAACUGAAAGUCACUAGAUCCUGAAUAUUUGUAUCCCCAUUCCCACUGUUCUUAUAGAUAGAAUCUCUGACAUCAGAAUCAUAAGGCUUUUCUUUAAGAAUUGCUUAAAGAUGUUCUUCGGAUCCCCAAUUCCAGUGAAACAGCUGAUGACAACCAUUUUGAAGACCCCCACAGAGGAACAGAAUCAACAUGAGAUGGUUUCUUCCUCUCCCCAUCCUAUGACUUCCCCCUGUACUCUUCCACCAAUUAACAAUCUCCACACUUUGACCCACUCCAAAACCCUUAAAAACCCAGCCCCAAACUACCUGGGGAGAUGGAUUUGAGGUUCCUUCCCAUCUUCUCCUUCGAUGGCCCAACCAUUAAACCUCUUUCUCUGCUGUAACCUCGUGUCUCAGCAUAUUGACUUUUUGCACAUAUUGGGCAAAAAAAACCUAUUAUGGUUACUUGAUUGUGAUAACAUCAAAAGUACACUGAAUUUGGAGUCAGGAGACCUGAAUUCUAAUCCUAGCUUUGACAUUAAUUAGCUACGUGGAUAUAGGUAACUCACUUCACUUCUGAAGGCCUCAAAGCCCUCCAAGGAUUUUGAGAUAGGCAAUUUUUCCCUCAACUUAGCAUUAUCAUUUCAUGGUUUUAUGAUGCAACUUUUACAGCAUCACAAUGUUCCAUUAAUAAAAUUAUAUUGGUUUUUCCAUAUUUUUAAAUCUAAACCUUCAAAUAACUAUUUGUUUUCAUUUUUUUCUGGUGUGUUGCCUUUGUCUUUCCCCUUUAUUCUUUCAUGUUUUGCUUACCUAAGGAAAAGCUUACAAGAAGGAGCUGUGUCAACAGUAGUUGGUAUGGAUCCACACUAACUUUUAUUUGGGGUUUUAACUAAGAGAACUUAAUGUAUGACUUAUUGUAAAAUUAUAAAAAUCAAAUCAAGUUUUAUAACAACAGCCAUAGAAUGGUCUUUUUUUUUGCAAAACCAAAGAUACAUAUACAUAAAUGAAUAUGAUUUAUGUAGAAAAUGAUAUUAAAGGAUACAUACAAAAUUAUUGAGAAGCAAUUAGCCCUGGAAGAGAAAAAUCUGAGCUAGAGGGGUAGUGAGGCUAAAAUUUGUACUAUAAACUGUCCUAUAUUAUUUAAUUUGGUAUAACAAGAGUGUAUUAUUCUUAUAAUAGGAAUAUUACUUUAAACAUUUUUAUUAACUGAUAUUUAUUUUAUGUAUAUAAGGUUUUUUUUCAAUGUGGCUUUGUAAUCUACCACAUACUGGACUUAAAGUUAUAAACAGGAGAGAUGACUGAAGUGGAGGAAGGUUCAUUAGCCUCACACAGGAAAUGCCUUGAAGUAGACCGUGGGUGAAUCUGUUUAAGCUGUGACCCAAGCAGAAAUACUUUCUUCUCAAAGUGAUUUGAAACUAUUAUUCUCAUUGAAUCUAUGAUAAGAAAACUAAUUAUGAUAACAGACAUACGGUUGGAAGAGGAAACACAGGUAGAGCUGUCUUUACAUUAGAGAAAGAACUGAGAGAGCUAGGCAAAAGCCAUCAUUGGGGGUAACAGAACACAGCAGGGGGAAGCAUUCUGCAGAGCAUAUUGGAACAAAGCAAGUCUCUCCAAAAAAAUCUAAAGAAAAUAUUUUCAGAAAGUGCACAAGGCAAAGACUAAUGGCUCCCUGCAGAUAUUCAUAAGGAUAUAAGAAAGAAGAGGCUUUCCAAGAAAAUAUAACAUAUUUCAACAACAACAAAAGACUGGGCUAGAUUUGAGACACACUAAGAGUCAUUAACAACUAGAAGUUCUUAUCAUAACACUAUCUAUACUGUUUACAAUUGUGUCACUUUAUGCUUAUAUAAAGUAUAAAGAGACCACUUUACAGAAUAUGGGUUCAGUCAUUGUCAGGGUAUCAGAGUAUCUUUUGUUUUCCUUUAUUAUAUUGUAAGGACAACAUAAAGUAACCCAAAGAGAAAGGAGAGAACAGCUUAACCUCUCUAAACACUGCACAUUUUGGAAGUCUAAUCCCCUCUCCCUGUCCCAAAUCCUCUCAUUAUAUCUAAGCCCAGUGGAAGUAUGCUGGUCCUCACAGGCUGGCAGUUUUCUCAACCUGCAAUUAGAGUGUUUAGCUCUUUUUGCCAGCUACAGCUUUAGUCAUCAAUUCCAGGAAACCCUGACACCAAUUCACUGAAUAUCUAAACAUACAUUACCUACUUGAUCAUCUAUAUUCCCAGAUGCAAUGAACAUAUUUUCUUGUUAUCUUUUUAAGUCUUCUAAGUUAUAUUGUGCACAAUUUAAAUACACUUGCCUUAGUUUCUGAGACAGCCGUUUCUCGGUUUUCUAUCUUUCCCAGUUAUUUCUUGCCAAUCUCCUUUGUUAGCUCCUCCUCUUCAACAUGAAUUCUAAAUGUGUUUGCUUCUAUAUCAUAUUUUCUGCUCUAAUAUACCCUGUCUAUAUGUUAUUACAUCCUAAGAAAAAAACAAUUCCUAUCAUAGGUCAAACUUAUGCUCUAAAUUCCAAAAUCAUAUACCCAAUGGCUGAUAUAAUAUAACUAUGAAAUGAGCAAAUUCAAUAUCUAAAGGCCACUAAAUUGGAAUGAGACUUCUACCCGAAACAGAUUCCUCCAAGUCUUCCUUAAAUCCAUAAGUUACUUUCACACACACACAAUGCCCCAAAACAAGAAACCCCAAAGCCACAUUUGUUUCCCAAUUUCCUUCAAUCCCACAUUCAUUCCCAGCAAUUUCAGUCAAUUUUACCUCUAAAAUAUGUUUUGAAUUUGUUUACCUCUUCUGCAAUUCUCUAGUGCAUUACUAAUAUAAAUACAAUGCAAGCAACAUAUGUAAUUUUUAACUUGCUAGUAGUCAUAUUAAAAAUAAUUUGUGUAAGUCAA
This 5719-nucleotide long non-coding RNA is filed under the name Homo sapiens (human). Its description in RNAcentral is "HSALNT0358268". The record is from RNAcentral. Lineage: Eukaryota; Metazoa; Chordata; Mammalia; Primates; Hominidae.